This 809-nucleotide ribosomal RNA is filed under the name uncultured Pseudomonas sp. RNAcentral describes it as "bacterial SSU rRNA". It matches the Rfam family "Bacterial small subunit ribosomal RNA", at positions 8 to 812 of the family's 1533-position model. Lineage: Bacteria; Pseudomonadati; Pseudomonadota; Gammaproteobacteria; Pseudomonadales; Pseudomonadaceae. The record is from RNAcentral.
AGAGUUUGAUCCUGGCUCAGACUGAACGCUGGCGGCAGGCCUAACACAUGCAAGUCGAGCGGAUGACGGGAGCUUGCUCCUUGAUUCAGCGGCGGACGGGUGAGUAAUGCCUAGGAAUCUGCCUGGUAGUGGGGGACAACGUUUCGAAAGGAACGCUAAUACCGCAUACGUCCUACGGGAGAAAGCAGGGGACCUUCGGGCCUUGCGCUAUCAGAUGAGCCUAGGUCGGAUUAGCUAGUUGGUGGGGUAAUGGCUCACCAAGGCGACGAUCCGUAACUGGUCUGAGAGGAUGAUCAGUCACACUGGAACUGAGACACGGUCCAGACUCCUACGGGAGGCAGCAGUGGGGAAUAUUGGACAAUGGGCGAAAGCCUGAUCCAGCCAUGCCGCGUGUGUGAAGAAGGUCUUCGGAUUGUAAAGCACUUUAAGUUGGGAGGAAGGGCAGUAAGCUAAUACCUUGCUGUUUUGACGUUACCGACAGAAUAAGCACCGGCUAACUCUGUGCCAGCAGCCGCGGUAAUACAGAGGGUGCAAGCGUUAAUCGGAAUUACUGGGCGUAAAGCGCGCGUAGGUGGUUCGUUAAGUUGGAUGUGAAAGCCCCGGGCUCAACCUGGGAACUGCAUCCAAAACUGGCGAGCUAGAGUACGGUAGAGGGUGGUGGAAUUUCCUGUGUAGCGGUGAAAUGCGUAGAUAUAGGAAGGAACACCAGUGGCGAAGGCGACCACCUGGACUGAUACUGACACUGAGGUGCGAAAGCGUGNGGAGCAAACAGGAUUAGAUACCCUGGUAGUCCACGCCGUANACGAUGU